GUAAUAGUCAUGCACCUUCCUGAGCAUCUUCUCCUCACAGCCCUUGUAGGAGUCAUCAACAGAGUCUGGAGCCAUGUCUAAGGGGAAGUUGGAUAUUGGAUCAUGCAGAGGGAGACUGACCUUUAGUGAUUUGAGAGAGAAAUAGAGAAACAGGUGUGCCUGUCUGGUGAACCCAGAGAAGAGGGUUGGGAAUUACUGCACCUUGUAGGCAACCGUGGUCCUGGAGGGGCGCAGGCACUUCAUGUUUUUAAUUUAACCAACCUGGAAGAACAGUUGUGUUGAAUUUAGGCAAUCACAGAACUGAUCCCCACCGUUUGAGACUGGAUUUGAAUAACCCUAGUCUGAGCUUUCUCUGUCAAUCAUGCCUUUAGCUGGUUAAGUGAAAUGCUUCCCUCUUCUGGUAACUGUGAACAAUGCUCCAUGUCUCUGCAGCCUACCUAAAGUGAAGGAUCUGUCAACCAUCUAUUUAAAACAUUUGUUCCCCCAGAAUCCAACUUCUAAAUAAGUAUGUGGCCAGUUUACAGGUGUGAGACAGUCAUAUGAAUAUGAAAACCCCUUUAUCAGAUCAAUUAAUAAAAGGUCAAUGACUAAAAUA
Long non-coding RNA from Oncorhynchus kisutch (coho salmon), 595 nucleotides. RefSeq lists it as uncharacterized. The transcript has 2 exons. Lineage: Eukaryota; Metazoa; Chordata; Actinopteri; Salmoniformes; Salmonidae. The record is from RefSeq and is a predicted model, not a curated record.